AACGCGAAGAACCUUACCUGGGCUCGAACGGCUAUUGAUCGGUGGUAGAAAUAUCGCCUUUCCCGCAAGGGACUGUAGUCGAGGUGCUGCAUGGCUGUCGUCAGCUCGUGUCGUGAGAUGUUGGGUUAAGUCCCGCAACGAGCGCAACCCUUGUCCUGUGUUGCUAACCCCUUAAAAGGUGCACUCUCAGGAGACCGCCAGCGAUAAGCUGGAGGAAGGUGGGGAUGACGUCAAGUCAUCAUGGCCUUUAUGUCCAGGGCUACACACGUGCUACAAUGGGCGGUACAAAGCGUUGCCAACCCGCGAGGGGGAGCUAAUCGCAAAAAACCGCUCUCAGUUCGGAUUGCAGGCUGCAACUCGCCUGCAUGAAGCUGGAAUCGCUAGUAAUGGCGUAUCAGAACGACGCCGUGAAUACGUUCCCGGGCCUUGUA
This 431-nucleotide ribosomal RNA is filed under the name uncultured Acidobacterium sp. RNAcentral describes it as "bacterial SSU rRNA". It matches the Rfam family "Bacterial small subunit ribosomal RNA", at positions 958 to 1385 of the family's 1533-position model. Lineage: Bacteria; Pseudomonadati; Acidobacteriota; Terriglobia; Terriglobales; Acidobacteriaceae. The record is from RNAcentral.